Molecule: non-coding RNA, 1929 nt
Organism: Zalophus californianus (California sea lion)
Lineage: Eukaryota; Metazoa; Chordata; Mammalia; Carnivora; Otariidae
Source: the annotation of a RefSeq genome assembly
CACAGGGGAGAACCCAGAUCAGAGCGCGAGACUCUUCUUCACCCCGCAGGGGAGAGCAGUCAGCAUGCCGCUUGUCAGCCUGCUGUGGGCAGUCGUGGUGUCCACCUGUCUUGGAUCCAGCACAGCCCAGACGGUCACUCAGACUCAACCAGACACGUCUGUGCAGGAGACAGAGACUGUGACCUUGCACUGCACGUAUGACACCAGCGACAGUAAUUAUUAUUUGUUCUGGUACAAACAGCCUCCCAGCGGGGAGAUGAUUCUCAUUAUUCGCCAAGAAGCUUAUAAGCAAGAGAAUGCAACAAAGGAUCGCUUCUCUGUGAACUUCCAGAAAGCAAAAAAAUCCUUCGGUCUCAGGAUCUCAGAUUCUCGGCUGGAGGAUGCUGCGAUGUAUUUCUGUGCUCUCAUUGGAGGCACAGGUUUUGGAACAGCACAACUUGUCUUUGGAAGAGGGACUCAACUCAUCGUGGAACCAUGAAGCCAGCCUCCUGUCAAACCAUCCGUUUUCACCAUGAAAAAUGGGUCGACUGUUGCUUGUCUGGUGAAGGAUUUCUACCCUAAGAAUAUAAACAUAAAUCUUGAAUCAUCCAAGAAACUAGAAGAAUUUGAGCCUGCUAUCGUCAUCUCUCCCAGUGGGAAAUACAGUGCUGUCAAGCUUGGUCGGUAUGGAGAUUCAAAUUCAGUGACCUGUUCAGUCCAACACAACAAUGAAAUCGUGCGCUCCACUGAUUUUGAAUCGAAGAAAAAAUCUUCAGGUACCGUAAAACCAACAGAACCUGAAAACAUGGAGCAAACUUCAGAGAGCCUCUAUGGGCCCAAAGUUCAUCACAGCUCACAGUUCACAGCGCGGAAGGUGAACAUGCUGUCCCUCACAGUGCUGGGGCUCCGAAUGGUGUUUGCCAAGAGUCUGGCCGUCAAUUUUCUCUUGACUGCCAAGUUAUUUUUCUUUUAAGGCUGACCGGCAUGAGAAGGCUCCAUUAUGAGACUCUCACGUUAUGUCUUCACAAAAGCCUACAGAGAAGCUGUCUCCUAGGCUUCUGCCUACUCGGUGAUUCAAGCUGACCUAUCCCAGCCUUGCUUAAACGGCUGCUACCCAAACCAGUUUUCCUUCAAAGGCAACAAACCCAGCUCAUUUUCCAGCCUGGUGGAAAGACAAAAGUCCUGGGGACUUUUUGACCACCUGGGGACUUUUUGACCAUUAUGGUCCUAACUGCUCUUUUUGCUGCUUUAUAAAGAGAUAUAGGACUCAUUUUCUUUUUCAUUUCCACAACUGAUACACUUUGAAAAAGGUGUUUUGUUCCUUUGACUUUCUUUGCCUUCAGAAGUAGAAAGUGGGAGCCAAAAGAUUCCCAGCUCCAUGGUCCCCUAGGAAAAUAGACCCUGGGGGACAGAGAGCAGAGGGCCUUACCUAACAUGGAUGGCUCUGCUCAGCCCAGCCCUAGGUUUGCCUUGAGCUGGCAUAUUCUCGGCCGCAAAAGCACUUUCUGCUUUUCCUAGUACUUUACAAACAAAAUUACAUUUGACUCCUCAUGCAGCCAGUGGGGUUUCUAAAACCUCAUCCAGAUAUUCUCCAAGCUAUCAACAAGGAUCAGAGUAAAAUACAGAGAAAAUACACUUCUUUCUAUUAGUGAAUUUAACAAACAUGAAUCGACCCCCUCUAAGUUCCAGGUACUGUGCCGGGGGUGCAAAGAUGAGUAAGACGUGGGCCUGCUCUCAAGCCACAAACUGUGCAAAUGUUUCUGGAGGGAGGGAAGAGGAACAGGAGCCCUCGGAUUUUGGCUGUAAAAAGAUUAUCUUUUUGCCUGCCAAUCUGGGCACGGGGAAUUUGAGGUCAGGGGAUGAUGAUUCUUGCCUGCCCCGUGUUGUUGAUGGUUUUCUGCCCUUCCCAGUGCUGUUCUCUGUUGCAUUUAUUAAAGUGCAUUGAGUGUU